Molecule: unclassified non-coding RNA, 592 nt
Filed under: Hevea brasiliensis (rubber tree)
Lineage: Eukaryota; Viridiplantae; Streptophyta; Magnoliopsida; Malpighiales; Euphorbiaceae
Source: RNAcentral
AGGUGAUGCAACCUGCAGCUUGGCAUAAUCACCAGAGCCCGAUCAACAUUGCAACCGUACCUCCUGGUUCAGAAGAUCCAGAGCUCGUGAUGGCCAUAAAUGCCUCUAUUCAGUCAGCUAUGCAGGAAAGAGGGAAGCUUCAUACCCAUCCAUCAAGUUCUGAAGCAGGUGCCUCCAGUAGCAGUGGAUUACCUCAACCUGCUCCUCCAAAAACAAGUUCUAGCAAAUGGACAAUGCACGAAGCCAGCCACAGUUACAAUCCAAGCCAUCGUGCCGAAACACCAAAUGACACUGUCCCCGUCAUCCAGAUGACACACCCUCCAAAUGCAGCCCCCACAGCUCCACCCCUUGCAGCCAAAACUUCUGAAGCUAGCACAAGUACAGUUGACUACCCGUUGGUCAAUUCUGACCGCAUAAGCGACAUGCCAUCUUCAUCCGUUGGGAAUGAAGGGACACAAAGUAAUGGCAACUCGACGUGUGUGAUAUGUCUGGAUUCUCCAGUAGAGGGAGCCUGCGUCCCCUGUGGCCAUAUGGCUGGAUGUAUGUCUUGUCUAAAUGAGAUCAAAGCCAAGAAUUGGGGCUGCCCAGUUUG